AUUCCAGCUCCAAUAGCGUAUAUUAAAGUUGUUGCAGUUAAAAAGCUCGUAGUUGAACUUCGGAACCGGUCGAUUGGUCCGUCCUCUGGAUUGUGUACUGAUCGAUCUGUUCUUCUUCGCGAAGACCGCGUGUGCCCUUAACUGGGUGUGCACGGGAUUCACGACGUUUACUUUGAAAAAAUUAGAGUGUUCAAAGCAGGCAUUCGCUUGAAUAUCUCAGCAUGGAAUAAUAGAAUAGGACUUUGGUCUUAUUUUGUUGGUUUCCGAGACCGAAGUAAUGAUUAAUAGGGACAGUUGGGGGCAUUCGUAUUUCAUUGUCAGAGGUGAAAUUCUUGGAUUUAUGAAGGACGAACUUCUGCGAGAGCAUUUGCCAAGGAUGUUUUCAUUA
This 388-nucleotide ribosomal RNA is filed under the name Ctenophora sp. (in: diatoms). RNAcentral describes it as "Ctenophora sp. (in: Bacillariophyta) partial small subunit ribosomal RNA". It matches the Rfam family "Eukaryotic small subunit ribosomal RNA", at positions 582 to 975 of the family's 1831-position model. Lineage: Eukaryota; Bacillariophyta; Fragilariophyceae; Fragilariales; Fragilariaceae. The record is from RNAcentral.